RNAcentral lists this long non-coding RNA (259 nucleotides) under Lathyrus oleraceus (garden pea). RNAcentral describes it as "Pisum sativum (pea) long non-coding RNA (PSAT_LNC031942)". Lineage: Eukaryota; Viridiplantae; Streptophyta; Magnoliopsida; Fabales; Fabaceae. The record is from RNAcentral.
GACCCUUUCUCGGCUGGGGAUGCUUGAUUUCUGUCUGAUGGUGGAAAUAUUCAACAGAGCCUGGCUGGGGAUGGACGAGAUGAUCAAUCUGUCUGGUGACGCCGACCUCUGUUGGGGAGUAACUGGCUGUGCCUGGGGAUACUGCCAUUUUCUGAGGGAAAAAAAAAAAAAAAACAGGCUAGCUGGGGAAGAGAAUUGGUAGCGGAUUCAUUGGAAGCAUGAUUAGACCUUUUCCUUGAUCCUGAAGUCGGGUAGUAAU